CUUUAUACUGUGAAACUGCGAAUGGCUCAUUAAAUCAGUUAUCGUUUAUUUGAUAGUACCUUACUACAUGGAUACCUGUGGUAAUUCUAGAGCUAAUACAUGCUAAAAACCCCGACUUCAGGAAGGGGUGUAUUUAUUAGAUAAAAAACCAACGCCCUUCGGGGCUCCUUGGUGAAUCAUAAUAACUUAACGAAUCGCAUGGCCUUGCGCCGGCGAUGGUUCAUUCAAAUUUCUGCCCUAUCAACUUUCGAUGGUAGGAUAGUGGCCUACCAUGGUGGCAACGGGUAACGGGGAAUUAGGGUUCGAUUCCGGAGAGGGAGCCUGAGAAACGGCUACCACAUCCAAGGAAGGCAGCAGGCGCGCAAAUUACCCAAUCCCGAUACGGGGAGGUAGUGACAAUAAAUACUGAUACGGGGCUCUUUUGGGUCUCGUAAUUGGAAUGAGAACAAUUUAAAUCCCUUAACGAGGAACAAUUGGAGGGCAAGUCUGGUGCCAGCAGCCGCGGUAAUUCCAGCUCCAAUAGCGUAUAUUAAAGUUGUUGCAGUUAAAAAGCUCGUAGUUGAACCUUGGGUCUGGCUGGCCGGUCCGCCUCACCGCGAGUACUGGUCCGGCUGGACCUUUCCUUCUGGGGAACCUCAUGGCCUUCACUGGCUGUGGGGGGAACCAGGACUUUUACUGUGAAAAAAUUAGAGUGUUCAAAGCAGGCCUUUGCUCGAAUACAUUAGCAUGGAAUAAUAGAAUAGGACGUGUGGUUCUAUUUUGUUGGUUUCUAGGACCGCCGUAAUGAUUAAUAGGGAUAGUCGGGGGCGUCAGUAUUCAGCUGUCAGAGGUGAAAUUCUUGGAUUUGCUGAAGACUAACUACUGCGAAAGCAUUCGCCAAGGAUGUUUUCAUUAAUCAGGGAACGAAAGUUAGGGGAUCGAAGACGAUCAGAUACCGUCGUAGUCUUAACCAUAAACUAUGCCGACUAGGGAUCGGACGGGAUUCUAUGAUGA
This 993-nucleotide ribosomal RNA is filed under the name Penicillium limosum. Its description in RNAcentral is "SSU rRNA". It matches the Rfam family "Eukaryotic small subunit ribosomal RNA", at positions 72 to 1073 of the family's 1831-position model. The record is from RNAcentral. Lineage: Eukaryota; Fungi; Ascomycota; Eurotiomycetes; Eurotiales; Aspergillaceae.